Molecule: ribosomal RNA, 408 nt
Filed under: Fusobacteriota bacterium
Lineage: Bacteria; Fusobacteriati; Fusobacteriota
Description: Fusobacteria bacterium partial 16S ribosomal RNA
Rfam family: Bacterial small subunit ribosomal RNA
Source: RNAcentral
UGGGGAAUAUUGCACAAUGGACGGAAGUCUGAUGCAGCAACGCCGCGUGCGGGAUGACGGCCUUCGGGUUGUAAACCGCUUUUUCUCAUGACGAAGUUUUUUGACGGUAGUGGGGGAAGAAGCACCGGCUAACUACGUGCCAGCAGCCGCGGUGAUACGUAGGGUGCGAGCGUUGUCCGGAAUUAUUGGGCGUAAAGAGCUUGUAGGCGGUUUGUCGCGUCGAUAGUGCAAACUCAGUGCUUAACGCUGAGCCUGCUGUUGAUACGGGCAGACUAGAGGAAGGUAGGGGAAAAUGGAAUUCCCGGUGGAGCGGUGGAAUGCGCAGAUAUCGGGAGGAACACCGGUGGCGAAGGCGGUUCUCUGGGCCUUUCCUGACGCUGAGAAGCGAAAGCGUGGGGAGCGAACAGG